This 449-nucleotide ribosomal RNA is filed under the name uncultured bacterium. RNAcentral's name for it is "partial 16S ribosomal RNA". It matches the Rfam family "Bacterial small subunit ribosomal RNA", at positions 29 to 523 of the family's 1533-position model. The record is from RNAcentral.
AGCGAACGCUGGCGGCAGGCCUAACACAUGCAAGUCGAACGAACUCUUCGGAGUUAGUGGCGGACGGGUGAGUAACACGUGGGAACGUGCCUUUAGGUUCGGAACAACUCAGGGAAACUUGUGCUAAUACCGAAUGUGCCCUUCGGGGGAAAGAUUUAUCGCCUUUAGAGCGGCCCGCGUCUGAUUAGCUAGUUGGUGAGGUAAAGGCUCACCAAGGCGACGAUCAGUAGCUGGUCUGAGAGGAUGAUCAGCCACAUUGGGACUGAGACACGGCCCAAACUCCUACGGGAGGCAGCAGUGGGGAAUCUUGCGCAAUGGGCGAAAGCCUGACGCAGCCAUGCCGCGUGAAUGAUGAGGGUCUUAGGAUUGUAAAAUUCUUUCACCGGGGACGAUAAUGACGGUACCCGGAGAAGAAGCCCCGGCUAACUUCGUGCCAGCAGCCGCCGUAA